Molecule: ribosomal RNA, 446 nt
Filed under: uncultured bacterium
Lineage: Bacteria
Description: bacterial SSU rRNA
Rfam family: Bacterial small subunit ribosomal RNA
Source: RNAcentral
UGCCAGACUCCUACGGGAGGCAGCAGUGGGGAAUAUUGCACAAUGGGGGGAACCCUGAUGCAGCGACGCCGCGUGAGCGAUGAAGUAUUUCGGUAUGUAAAGCUCUAUCAGCAGGGAAGAAAAUGACGGUACCUGACUAAGAAGCCCCGGCUAACUACGUGCCAGCAGCCGCGGUAAUACGUAGGGGGCAAGCGUUAUCCGGAUUUACUGGGUGUAAAGGGAGCGUAGACGGCUGUGCAAGCCAGAUGUGAAAGCCCGGGGCCCAACCCCGGGACUGCUUUGGAAGCUGUGUAACUUGAGUACAGGAGGGGCAGGCGGAAUUCCUGGUGUAGCGGUGAAAUGCGUAGAUAUCAGGAGGAACACCGGCGGCGAAGGCGGCCUGCUGGACUGAAACUGACGUUGAGGCUCGAAAGCGUGGGGAGCAAACAGGAUUAGAUACCCGCGUA